UUUAAUGAGAGUUUGAUCCUGGCUCAGGACGAACGCUGGCGGCGUGCCUAAUACAUGCAAGUAGAACGCUGAGGUUUGGUGUUUACACUAGACUGAUGAGUUGCGAACGGGUGAGUAACGCGUAGGUAACCUGCCUCAUAGCGGGGGAUAACUAUUGGAAACGAUAGCUAAUACCGCAUAAGAGUAAUUAACACAUGUUAGUUAUUUAAAAGGAGCAAUUGCUUCACUGUGAGAUGGACCUGCGUUGUAUUAGCUAGUUGGU
Molecule: ribosomal RNA, 262 nt
Filed under: Streptococcus agalactiae
Lineage: Bacteria; Bacillati; Bacillota; Bacilli; Lactobacillales; Streptococcaceae
Also listed under: 1 other name
Description: partial 16S ribosomal RNA
Rfam family: Bacterial small subunit ribosomal RNA
Source: RNAcentral